This 252-nucleotide ribosomal RNA is filed under the name uncultured bacterium. RNAcentral's name for it is "partial 16S ribosomal RNA". It matches the Rfam family "Bacterial small subunit ribosomal RNA", at positions 524 to 776 of the family's 1533-position model. The record is from RNAcentral.
UACGUAGGUCCCGAGCGUUGUCCGGAUUUAUUGGGCGUAAAGCGAGCGCAGGUGGUUUAUUAAGUCUGGUGUAAAAGGCAGUGGCUCAACCAUUGUAUGCAUUGGAAACUGGUAGACUUGAGUGCAGGAGAGGAGAGUGGAAUUCCAUGUGUAGCGGUGAAAUGCGUAGAUAUAUGGAGGAACACCGAUGGCGAAAGCGGCUCUCUGGCCUGUAACUGACACUGAGGCUCGAAAGCGUGGGGAGCAAAUAGG